CAAAAGCUCUCCCUCUCUUCUCCCUCAAACCGAAGAUUACUCUCAAAUAUCUCUUUCCACCAAUUUUCAUCCUUCAAAUCACCUAUUUAGGAACCAACUUCCUCUCCUCUUUCUUUCUCAUUUGGGCGAUUUGAGCCUGCCCUAGAUUCUACCCCUCUUCUCCAAAUCGGUGAUUUACCUCUCCAAAAUUCUUACUUUUUCUUCUAAAAUCCUUUCCUCUCUACCUCUCAUUUAGUCUCCUAAGCUCCUUGCAAGUCUUUUUGAUCCAAAUGGCGCCCAAAAUGAAGCUACUGUAAAGAAAAAAAUCUAUUCGCG
This 315-nucleotide long non-coding RNA is filed under the name Elaeis guineensis (African oil palm). RNAcentral describes it as "long non-coding RNA (EGUI_LNC049270)". Lineage: Eukaryota; Viridiplantae; Streptophyta; Magnoliopsida; Arecales; Arecaceae. The record is from RNAcentral.